RNAcentral lists this transfer RNA (72 nucleotides) under Plectrocnemia tortosa. RNAcentral describes it as "tRNA-Pro". The record is from RNAcentral. Lineage: Eukaryota; Metazoa; Arthropoda; Insecta; Trichoptera; Polycentropodidae.
CAAAAAGUAGUUUAUAUUAAAAUAAUAAUUUUGGAAAUUAUAGAAAAUUUAAUUAAUAAAAAUUUUUUUUGA